UAGGGAAUCUUCCGCAAUGGACGCAAGUCUGACGGAGCAACGCCGCGUGAGUGAAGAAGGAUUUCGGUUCGUAAAACUCUGUUGUUAGAGAAGAACAGCGCAUAGAGUAACUGUUAUGCGUGUGACGGUAUCUAACCAGAAAGCCACGGCUAACUACGUGCCAGCAGCCGCGGUAAUACGUAGGUGGCAAGCGUUGUCCGGAUUUAUUGGGCGUAAAGCGAGCGCAGGCGGUUAGAAAAGUCUGAAGUGAAAGGCAGUGGCUCAACCAUUGUAGGCUUUGGAAACUGUUUAACUUGAGUGCAGAAGGGGAGAGUGGAAUUCCAGGUGUAGCGGUGAAAUGCGUAGAUAUAUGGAGGAACACCGGUGGCGAAAGCGGCUCUCUGGUCUGUAACUGACGAUGAGGCUCGAAAGCGUGGGGAGCGAACAGG
RNAcentral lists this ribosomal RNA (428 nucleotides) under Bacteroidota bacterium. Its description in RNAcentral is "Bacteroidetes bacterium partial 16S ribosomal RNA". It matches the Rfam family "Bacterial small subunit ribosomal RNA", at positions 355 to 776 of the family's 1533-position model. Lineage: Bacteria; Pseudomonadati; Bacteroidota. The record is from RNAcentral.